UUAUUUGCUGUAGGGGGAAUAACUUAGUAAGUAUAGCAAGAAGAGAUGGGGGAAGGGAAGAGAAGAAGAAGAAGAACAAAGGUGGGGAAGAAGACAGGAAAACGGCUGCAAGCCAACUUCAUAAUUUAAUAAAAUUCAUCAACUGAAAAUAACAAUGUAAAAUAGGUUUAAAUACUGGAAAAUACUGCAAACCUAGGGCCAAGCCCAAUACACAAGUCCAUAAAAUUAAAAUAACCUAAAUCCAACUAAAAUAAUUAAAACUGCUAAAAUAAUUAAAACUGGAUGUCCUCAUCAAUUCUCCCGAGGUGGGAGAAAAAUUCGACCCUGUCGAGUGGCUAUAUCACCAUAGGCAUCCGUCAAUCUCCCAACCAUAGGCUGAGUGGCCGGGCAAGCUUCUUUCGACGUCUGUAGAAAUGCGUCAGUGGCGGUCUGAACCUGGUGUCCUCACCAACUCCUCUCGGGUGGACGGGAGGCGAUCUGGACCAAUGAAGAUCCUGCUGACUCCGAUAAAACUCUAACAAAUCUGGGUCCAAUUGCUGUAGUGUCUCCUUGGAGAUCCAUGCACAGUCACAAUCUGGUCGACCAACCCAACGAACAAGGAAGCGCUGAACCUCUCCAUCAGUAGUGAAUACAGUUUCUUCAUCUAAAAUAGCAUCAAUUUUUUCUUUGUGUGCUAUGAGAGGUGGUAGUGGGUUAGAAGGGGUCAAAGAAUCAGGGUCAAGGUCCACAAUAGGAGAAGACAGAGGAUCAUCUGAGAGAAUGAAAUGGCCCUUAUGAGCUACAAGGUCCUCAACAUUGAAAGUAGAGUGGUAACCAAGGUGUGGUGGAAUGUCAACAAUAUAUGCAUUUGGACCAACUUGCUUUAAAAUUUUAAAAGGACCAGCACUACGAGCUUGCAAUUUAGAGGCGAGUCCAUGUAGACGCCGCUCUGGCUUAAUGCGAACCAUAACGUAAUCCCCAAUGUUAAACUCAAUAUGUCGUUUGUGUAAAUCAGCUUGGAGUUUAUAUGUUGCAUUACUAGUUUCAAGUUGUUUAUUGAUCUCAAUAUGCAAGUCACGAAGAUAUUGUGUAAAUGCUUCGGCCGAUACUGACACUCUAGCCUGUGGGGACUUAGGGAUGAGAUCUAACGGUUUCCUAGGCUUGUACCAAUGAACGGCUUCAAAUGGACUCAUACCUAGUGAACGAUUUAUAGAGCUAUUGUACGCAAUUUGAGCUACAGGAAGGAUUAAAUCCCAAUUUCGAAGGUUUUUUCGAACCAGACAACAUAAUAGGUUACCAAAGCUUCGAUUAACUACUUCAGUUUGACCGUCAAUUUGGGAGGAUGCCCCCGGAACGAAGUCUAUGGCAUAUUGAAUAUCCCUUAGUGGAGGUAGGUGAUCAGGGAGAUCCUCUAGAAAGACGUCUCGAAACUCUUGGAGGACCGAUAGGACUUCAACAGGGCUCUCUAUUGCGGAGUGUGAUGGGACCUCCAUGACUACCAAAGCGAAGACAACUGAGUCACUAACAAGUGUACGCUCAAACUCCGUAGGACUAAUGAUAUGCAAUCCUUUUCGUUCCACACUUUUCUUCGUUUCCAGUGGGCCAACAGGCUUCGAGAGUGAGAAAAGAAGGGAAGCCUUGGAAGUGGCGGCCAACUGACUGGCGGUUGGUCGACAGCGGUGGUGGUCGCCUUGGAAGUGGCGGCCAAUUGACCGGCGGUUGGGUAGAGACUGAGAAAAGAAGGGAAGCCGGCGACUAUUUGGUCCAAAAUUUAGGGCUCGAAUCUUCUGUCGUCUUCCUGAUUGAAUCGGUCCUCUGUUGAAAUCGAGGCAGAAAAGGCGACGGGGAAAGGAACCGUAACAGGUGUGGAUGAUGGGUAUCGUAGGCAUUGGACCAAUCGUGAUGUUGGAUUACCUGUAUGGGUUAUAGGAAGCUGCUGGCAAUUAAGUAUGUAGGGGAUUGGAUGUAGAGAAGAAACUGUCAACAAUUACAAAAAUCUAGCUUGCUGGGAAUGAUUACAGAAGUUGGUGGUCGGUGUUGGGGCGGUUUUCAGAUGAUGGUGGUAACGCUGGUAGCAAGAGAAUAGCUUGUCUGGAUUUUUGGCCGUGGGUGAGGGGAGCCAGGUUUGGCUCUGAUACCAAUUUGAUGCAGGGGAAUAAUUAUUUGCUGUAGGGGGAAUAACUCAGUAAGUAUAGCAAGAAGAGAUGGGGGAAGGGAAGAGGAGAAGAAGAAGAACAAAGGUGGGGAAGAACACAGGAAAACGGCUGCAAGCCAACUUCAUAAUUUAAUAAAAUUCAUCAACUAAAAAUAACAAUGUAAAAUAGGUUUAAAUACUGGAAAAUACUGCAAACCUAGGGCCAAGCUCAAUACACAAGUCCAUAAAAUUAAAAUAACCUAAAUCCAACUAAAAUAAUUAAAACUGCUAAAAUAAUUAAAACUGGAUGUCCUCAUCAACUUCCCUCUUUAUUGGUUUGUAUUUUCAUCCAAAUGGAUCUUUAUGAUUUAGAAGAAUGAGAAGCAAAAGGGGUUUGUGAAGAUAAACAAUUUAAAACUGAAGAAAUUAAUGAAUAGGCCAAUCUGCCUAUUUAUUGAGCCCCUGUUUGACAACCAUUAAAAUGGGGAAAAGAGUUUUUGAAUAAUAAUUUUUGGAGAAUGUGUGGUUAAGAAGUAGAAAUAAGUUUUUGGUUUACGUAGAAAUAAGUUUUUGGUUUACG
RNAcentral lists this long non-coding RNA (2693 nucleotides) under Olea europaea (common olive). Its description in RNAcentral is "long non-coding RNA (OEUR_LNC010678)". Lineage: Eukaryota; Viridiplantae; Streptophyta; Magnoliopsida; Lamiales; Oleaceae. The record is from RNAcentral.